CCCUUAGCUGUUCUGGGCCGCCCGCGCGCUACACUGACGGAGGCAGCGAGCAUGUCCUUCGCCGAGAGGUGUGGGGAAUCUUGUGAGUCUCCGUCGUGCUGGGGAUAGAUGGUUGCAAUUGUCGAUCUUGAACGAGGAAUUCCUAGUAAGCGCGAGUCAUCAGCUCGCGCUGAUUACGUCCCUGCCCUUUGUACACACCGCCCGUCGCUACUACCGAUUGGAUGGUUUAGCGAGAACUUUGGACCGGAGCUCGGGUGGUCAGCAAUGGCCGCCCGAGACAUACUGGGAAAUCGCUCCAGCUUGAUCAUCUAGAGGAAGUAAAAGUCGUAACA
This 332-nucleotide ribosomal RNA is filed under the name uncultured eukaryote. Its description in RNAcentral is "partial 18S ribosomal RNA". It matches the Rfam family "Eukaryotic small subunit ribosomal RNA", at positions 1470 to 1796 of the family's 1831-position model. The record is from RNAcentral.